RNAcentral lists this transfer RNA (85 nucleotides) under Pseudomonadales bacterium. RNAcentral describes it as "tRNA-Leu". It matches the Rfam family "tRNA". From Rfam's summary of the family: Transfer RNA (tRNA) molecules are approximately 80 nucleotides in length. Their secondary structure includes four short double-helical elements and three loops (D, anti-codon, and T loops). Lineage: Bacteria; Pseudomonadati; Pseudomonadota; Gammaproteobacteria; Pseudomonadales. The record is from RNAcentral.
GCGGACGUGGCGGAAUUGGUAGACGCGCUAGAUUUAGGUUCUAGUAUCUGAUGGUGUGGGAGUUCGAGUCUCCCCGUCCGCACCA